GGGGGUAUAGCUCAGUGGUACAGUAUUCGACUGCUAAUCGAGAGGUCCCCAGUUCAAACUAAGGUGCCCCCU
This 72-nucleotide transfer RNA is filed under the name Trichonephila inaurata madagascariensis. It matches the Rfam family "tRNA". From Rfam's summary of the family: Transfer RNA (tRNA) molecules are approximately 80 nucleotides in length. Their secondary structure includes four short double-helical elements and three loops (D, anti-codon, and T loops). The record is from Rfam by way of RNAcentral. Lineage: Eukaryota; Metazoa; Arthropoda; Arachnida; Araneae; Nephilidae.